Molecule: ribosomal RNA, 516 nt
Filed under: uncultured bacterium
Lineage: Bacteria
Description: bacterial SSU rRNA
Rfam family: Bacterial small subunit ribosomal RNA
Source: RNAcentral
CGUGGCGAAAGUCACGCUAAUACCGCAUACGUCCUGAGGGAGAAAGCAGGGGAUCGCAAGACCUUGCGCGAUUGGAGCGGCCGAUGUCUGAUUAGCUAGUUGGUGGGGUAAAGGCCUACCAAGGCGACGAUCAGUAGCUGGUCUGAGAGGACGAUCAGCCACACUGGGACUGAGACACGGCCCAGACUCCUACGGGAGGCAGCAGUGGGGAAUUUUGGACAAUGGGCGAAAGCCUGAUCCAGCCAUUCCGCGUGAGUGAAGAAGGCCUUCGGGUUGUAAAGCUCUUUCGGCAGGAACGAAACGGCCGUUUCUAAUAAAGACGGCUAAUGACGGUACCUGAAGAAGAAGCACCGGCUAACUACGUGCCAGCAGCCGCGGUAAUACGUAGGGUGCGAGCGUUAAUCGGAAUUACUGGGCGUAAAGCGUGCGCAGGCGGUUUGGUAAGUCAGAUGUGAAAUCCCCGGGCUCAACCUGGGAACUGCAUUUGAGACUGCCAAGCUGGAGUUUGGCAGAGGG